GAUGAAGAACGUAGCGAAAUGCGAUAAGUAGUGUGAAUUGCAGAAUUCAGUGAAUCAUCGAAUCUUUGAACGCACAUUGCGCCCUUUGGUAUUCCUUAGGGCAUGCCUGUUCGAGCGUCAUCUAAACCUUCAAGCCCUGCUUGGUGUUGGGUGCCUGUCCCGCCUCUGUGCGUGGACUCACCUCAAAUCCAUUGGCGGCCCCCGCGUCGGCCACGAGCGCAGCAGAAACGCGAACUCGUGAGCCCGUCCGGGCGGCUCCCAGAAGCUAACCCCCAAUUUUUGACCUCGGAUCAGGUAGGGAUACCCGCUGAACUUAAGCAUAUCAAUAAGCGGAGGA
This 337-nucleotide unclassified non-coding RNA is filed under the name soil metagenome. RNAcentral's name for it is "partial contains 5.8S ribosomal RNA, internal transcribed spacer 2, and large subunit ribosomal RNA". The stretch from base 1 to 120 matches the Rfam family "5.8S ribosomal RNA", at positions 35 to 154 of the family's 154-position model. The record is from RNAcentral.